GUCAGCGGCGAUAGCACGUUGACUACACCAGUUCCCAAGGAAUCACUGAAGUUAAGCAACUUUGAGCGUGGUUAGUAUCCGGAUGGAUGGCCAUAUGGACAAUCGCAUGCUGCUGGCU
Molecule: ribosomal RNA, 118 nt
Filed under: Diaphorina citri (Asian citrus psyllid)
Lineage: Eukaryota; Metazoa; Arthropoda; Insecta; Hemiptera; Psyllidae
Source: RNAcentral